Molecule: ribosomal RNA, 400 nt
Filed under: Chloroparvula japonica
Lineage: Eukaryota; Viridiplantae; Chlorophyta; Chloropicophyceae; Chloropicales; Chloropicaceae
Description: partial Bacterial large subunit ribosomal RNA
Rfam family: Bacterial large subunit ribosomal RNA
Source: RNAcentral
GGAGGUUGGCUUAGAAGCAGCCAUUCCUUUAAAGAGUGCGUAAUAGCUCACUAGUCAAGCGACUCGGCGUCGAUAAUAAGCGGGCAUAAGUCCGGUGCCGAAGCUGUGGGAUUGAAAGAUCGGUAGGGGAGCAUUCCAGUUGCGUUGAAGGGGUACCCGUGAGGGACCUUGGAGCGUCUGGAAGCGAAACUGUAGGCAUGAGUAACGAUAAGAAGGGUGAAAAACCCUUCCACCGCAAACCCAAGGGUUCCUGAUCAACGCUAAUCGGAUCAGGGUUAGUCGAGACCUAAGGUGUACCCGGUGAGGCCGGGGAAGCCGAUGGCAAAGCGGUUAAAUAUUCCGCUACCUGGUCUAGCGCUAGGCUAAGGCGUGACGCAGAAGUGACACUCCCGCGCCCCGA